RNAcentral lists this ribosomal RNA (1482 nucleotides) under Escherichia coli C1214_90. Its description in RNAcentral is "bacterial LSU rRNA". It matches the Rfam family "Bacterial large subunit ribosomal RNA", at positions 1466 to 2925 of the family's 2925-position model. Lineage: Bacteria; Pseudomonadati; Pseudomonadota; Gammaproteobacteria; Enterobacterales; Enterobacteriaceae. The record is from RNAcentral.
GGGGGGACGGAGAAGGCUAUGUUGGCCGGGCGACGGUUGUCCCGGUUUAAGCGUGUAGGCUGGUUUUCCAGGCAAAUCCGGAAAAUCAAGGCUGAGGCGUGAUGACGAGGCACUACGGUGCUGAAGCAACAAAUGCCCUGCUUCCAGGAAAAGCCUCUAAGCAUCAGGUAACAUCAAAUCGUACCCCAAACCGACACAGGUGGUCAGGUAGAGAAUACCAAGGCGCUUGAGAGAACUCGGGUGAAGGAACUAGGCAAAAUGGUGCCGUAACUUCGGGAGAAGGCACGCUGAUAUGUAGGUGAAGUCCCUCGCGGAUGGAGCUGAAAUCAGUCGAAGAUACCAGCUGGCUGCAACUGUUUAUUAAAAACACAGCACUGUGCAAACACGAAAGUGGACGUAUACGGUGUGACGCCUGCCCGGUGCCGGAAGGUUAAUUGAUGGGGUUAGCGCAAGCGAAGCUCUUGAUCGAAGCCCCGGUAAACGGCGGCCGUAACUAUAACGGUCCUAAGGUAGCGAAAUUCCUUGUCGGGUAAGUUCCGACCUGCACGAAUGGCGUAAUGAUGGCCAGGCUGUCUCCACCCGAGACUCAGUGAAAUUGAACUCGCUGUGAAGAUGCAGUGUACCCGCGGCAAGACGGAAAGACCCCGUGAACCUUUACUAUAGCUUGACACUGAACAUUGAGCCUUGAUGUGUAGGAUAGGUGGGAGGCUUUGAAGUGUGGACGCCAGUCUGCAUGGAGCCGACCUUGAAAUACCACCCUUUAAUGUUUGAUGUUCUAACGUUGACCCGUAAUCCGGGUUGCGGACAGUGUCUGGUGGGUAGUUUGACUGGGGCGGUCUCCUCCUAAAGAGUAACGGAGGAGCACGAAGGUUGGCUAAUCCUGGUCGGACAUCAGGAGGUUAGUGCAAUGGCAUAAGCCAGCUUGACUGCGAGCGUGACGGCGCGAGCAGGUGCGAAAGCAGGUCAUAGUGAUCCGGUGGUUCUGAAUGGAAGGGCCAUCGCUCAACGGAUAAAAGGUACUCCGGGGAUAACAGGCUGAUACCGCCCAAGAGUUCAUAUCGACGGCGGUGUUUGGCACCUCGAUGUCGGCUCAUCACAUCCUGGGGCUGAAGUAGGUCCCAAGGGUAUGGCUGUUCGCCAUUUAAAGUGGUACGCGAGCUGGGUUUAGAACGUCGUGAGACAGUUCGGUCCCUAUCUGCCGUGGGCGCUGGAGAACUGAGGGGGGCUGCUCCUAGUACGAGAGGACCGGAGUGGACGCAUCACUGGUGUUCGGGUUGUCAUGCCAAUGGCACUGCCCGGUAGCUAAAUGCGGAAGAGAUAAGUGCUGAAAGCAUCUAAGCACGAAACUUGCCCCGAGAUGAGUUCUCCCUGACUCCUUGAGAGUCCUGAAGGAACGUUGAAGACGACGACGUUGAUAGGCCGGGUGUGUAAGCGCAGCGAUGCGUUGAGCUAACCGGUACUAAUGAACCGUGAGGCUUAACC